This 74-nucleotide transfer RNA is filed under the name Planctomycetota bacterium. RNAcentral describes it as "Planctomycetes bacterium (wastewater metagenome) tRNA-Arg". It matches the Rfam family "tRNA". Rfam says of the family: Transfer RNA (tRNA) molecules are approximately 80 nucleotides in length. Their secondary structure includes four short double-helical elements and three loops (D, anti-codon, and T loops). Lineage: Bacteria; Pseudomonadati; Planctomycetota. The record is from RNAcentral.
GCUCCCAUAGCUCAGUUGGAUAGAGCGAUGGUUUCCUAAACCAUAGGUCGCUGGUUCGAACCCAGUUGGGGGUA